RNAcentral lists this ribosomal RNA (434 nucleotides) under uncultured bacterium. RNAcentral describes it as "partial 16S ribosomal RNA". It matches the Rfam family "Bacterial small subunit ribosomal RNA", at positions 30 to 506 of the family's 1533-position model. The record is from RNAcentral.
AGCGAACGCUGGCGGCAGGCUUAACACAUGCAAGUCGAGCGGGCACUUUCGGGUGUCAGCGGCGGACGGGUGAGUAACGCGUGGGAACGUGCCCUCUGGUUCGGAAUAACUCAGGGAAACUUGAGCUAAUACCGGAUACGCCCUUUUGGGGAAAGGCUUGCUGCCGGAGGAUCGGCCCGCGUCUGAUUAGCUAGUUGGUGAGGUAACGGCUCACCAAGGCGACGAUCAGUAGCUGGUCUGAGAGGAUGAUCAGCCACACUGGGACUGAGACACGGCCCAGACCCCUACGGGGGGCAGGAGGGGGGAAUAUUGGAAAAGGGGCGCAAGCCUGAACCAGCCAUGCCGGGGGAGGGAAGAAGGCCUUAGGGUUGAAAAGCUCUUUUAGCCGGGACGAUAAGGACGGUACCGGAGGAAUAAGCCCCGGCUAACUUCGU